This 441-nucleotide ribosomal RNA is filed under the name uncultured bacterium. Its description in RNAcentral is "bacterial SSU rRNA". It matches the Rfam family "Bacterial small subunit ribosomal RNA", at positions 28 to 452 of the family's 1533-position model. The record is from RNAcentral.
GAUGAACGCUAGCUACAGGCUUAACACAUGCAAGUCGAGGGGAAACGAUAUUUGGAAGCUUGCUUCCGAUAGGCGUCGACCGGCGCACGGGUGAGUAACGCGUAUCCAACCUGCCCACCACUUGGGGAUAACCUUGCGAAAGUAAGACUAAUACCCGAUGAUAUCCCUAGAAGAACAUCUGAAAGGGNUUAAAGAUUUAUCGGUGAUGGAUGGGGAUGCGUCUGAUUAGCUUGUUGGCGGGGUAGCGGCCCACCAAGGCGACGAUCAGUAGGGGUUCUGAGAGGAAGGUCCCCCGACAUUGGAACUGAGACACGGUCCAAACUCCUACGGGAGGCAGCAGUUGAGGAAUAUUGGUCAAUGGGCGAGAGCCUUGAACCAGCCAAGUAGCGUGCAGGAUGACGGCCCUAUGGGUUGUAAACUGCUUUUAUAAGGGAUAAAGUG